Molecule: non-coding RNA, 125 nt
Organism: Triticum aestivum (bread wheat)
Lineage: Eukaryota; Viridiplantae; Streptophyta; Magnoliopsida; Poales; Poaceae
Source: Rfam
UACAUACCCCCUCCGUCCGAAAAUACUUGUCAUUGAAAUGGAUGUAUCUAGAUGUAUUUUAGUUCUAAGUACAUCCAUUUUCAUCCAUUUUGAUGACAAGUAAUUCCGGACGGAGGAAGUACAUA